GAACGAACGCUGGCGGCGCGUUUUAAGCAUGCAAGUCGAACGGUAACCAUCCUUCGGUGAUGGCUAGAGUGGCGAACGGGUGAGUAACACGUAGGUGAUCUGCCCUUGAGUUGGGGAUAGCCCAUGGAAACAUGGGGUAAUACCGAAUACGCUCGCGACCCUGUGGGGAUGUGAGGAAAAGCGCCUCGGCGCUGCUCGAGGAUGAGCCUGCGGCUGAUUAGUUAGUUGGUGGGGUAACGGCCUACCAAGGCGACGAUCAGUAGCCGGCCUGAGAGGGUGAGCGGCCACACUGGGACUGAGAUACGGCCCAGACUCCUACGGGAGGCAGCAGCUAAGAAUCUUCUACAAUGGACGAAAGUCUGAUAGAGCGACGCCGCGUGGGUGAUGAAGGCCGGAAGGUUGUAAAGCCCUUUUCUAUUCGAGGAAUAAGGUGUGGAGGCAAUGCCACACUGAUGACGGUAGGGUAGGAAUAAGCCCCGGCCAAUUACGUGCCAGCAGCCGCGGUAACACGUAUGGGGCGAGCGUUGUUCGGAAUCAUUGGGCGUAAAGGGCGCGUAGGCGGAUAUGCAAGCUUGGUGUGAAAGACCGCAGCUCAACUGCGGGAGCGCGCUGAGAACUGCAUAUCUUGAGUUCAAGAGGGGAAGCUGGAAUUCCAGGUGUAGGGGUGAAAUCUGUAGAUAUCUGGAAGAACAUCAGUGGCGAAGGCGAGCUUCUGGCUUUGAACUGACGCUGAGGCGCGAAAGCGUGGGGAGCGAACAGGAUUAGAUACCCUGGUAGUCCACGCUGUAAACGAUGUGCACUAGGUGUAGGGCCGUUGAAGGCUCAGUGCCGUAGCUAACGCGUUAAGUGCACCGCCUGGGGAGUAU
Molecule: ribosomal RNA, 866 nt
Filed under: uncultured organism
Description: bacterial SSU rRNA
Rfam family: Bacterial small subunit ribosomal RNA
Source: RNAcentral